UGGGGCGUAGCUCAGUCGGUUAGAGCAGCUGGCUUAUAUCCGGCGUGUCGAGGGUUCGAUUCCUUCCGCCCCGA
This 74-nucleotide transfer RNA is filed under the name Caudoviricetes sp. RNAcentral's name for it is "tRNA-Ile". It matches the Rfam family "tRNA". From Rfam's summary of the family: Transfer RNA (tRNA) molecules are approximately 80 nucleotides in length. Their secondary structure includes four short double-helical elements and three loops (D, anti-codon, and T loops). Further hydrogen bonds mediate the characteristic L-shaped molecular structure. tRNAs have two regions of fundamental functional importance: the anti-codon, which is responsible for specific mRNA codon recognition, and the 3' end, to which the tRNAs corresponding amino acid is attached (by aminoacyl-tRNA synthetases). tRNAs cope with the degeneracy of the genetic code in two manners: having more than one tRNA (with a specific anti-codon) for a particular amino acid; and 'wobble' base-pairing, i.e. permitting non-standard base-pairing at the 3rd anti-codon position. The record is from RNAcentral. Lineage: Duplodnaviria; Heunggongvirae; Uroviricota; Caudoviricetes.